CCUACGGGGGGCAGCAGUAAGGAAUAUUGGUCAAUGGAGGAAACUCUGAACCAGCCAUCCCGCGUGAAGGAUGAAGGGGCUCUGCCUUGUAAACUUCUUUUGUCUGGGGCGAAAAAGCUCGAUUUAUCGAGAACUGACGGUACCAGAAGAAUAAGCACCGGCUAACUCCGUGCCAGCAGCCGCGGUAAUACGGAGGUUGCCAGCGUUACCGGGAAUCACUGGGGUGUAAGGGUGCGUAGGAGGCAGUGGAGAAAGGCUGUGGCUUAACCAUGGAAUUGCCAUUGAUACUGCAGAGCUUGAAUGAGGUUGAGGUUGGCGGAAUGUGACAUGUAGCGGUGAAAUGCUUAGAUAUGUCAUGGAACACCGAUUGCGAAGGCAGCUGACUGGACCUAUAUUGACGCUGAGGCACGAAAGCGUGGGGAGCGAACAGGAUUAGAUACCCUGGUAGUC
Molecule: ribosomal RNA, 450 nt
Filed under: uncultured bacterium
Lineage: Bacteria
Description: partial 16S ribosomal RNA
Rfam family: Bacterial small subunit ribosomal RNA
Source: RNAcentral